UUUGGGGAUGCAAACUUAACAUCAACUUUAAUAUCGAGAAAUCAAAACAUUUUGUCAAAAUAAAAAUUUAUUGCAAAUUCAUUGUUCGGCUGAUAUAAAACGGUUGAAUAUUUUAUAGUUCGGACGGUUGGGCCAAGCGGACACGCCGUAAACAGCAUACUUUUAAUAUGUACAUUUUGUUGCCGAAUAUUUUUUUUUUAUGGUUGCGGUUCCAUGGCCAUAGACCAUGCUUACGGCUUUUCAUGCAUUAUUUAUUAAUUCAACAAUAAAUUUCAAUGUAAAUCAUAACAUUUCAUCCCUUGUUGUGUGGAGGACAUAUUUUAAAGUAGCAUACACCUACCCACCUACGGGGCACUAAAAUACAACACUACACAUAAUAUCAGGUUUUAGUGUAACACGUCCAAUAUAGAUGAUUUGGUGUGGAUUGGUUUGCAUAUUAAUUUCUAAUAAUAAAUUAAACGGUUUUAUGAUGACUAUGCAUGUUUGGUUUGGCUCUAACACACAUUGCAUGAAUGCUAAACAACGAGACCUAUCAUUCAAAGAAGUGGUUUUGGUAAGUUAUUGUUCACACGACGGCCGAAAUUUGG
Molecule: long non-coding RNA, 587 nt
Organism: Bradysia coprophila
Lineage: Eukaryota; Metazoa; Arthropoda; Insecta; Diptera; Sciaridae
Source: RefSeq, a predicted model, not a curated record